AGAGUUUGAUCCUGGCUCAGGAUGAACGCUGGCGGCGUGCUUAACACAUGCAAGUCGAACGAUCCUUCGGGAUAGUGGCGGACGGGUGAGUAACGCGUGGGAAUCUGCCCUUAGGAGGGGGAUAACGGCUGGAAACGGCCGCUAAUACCCCAUAUGCCGAGAGGUGAAACGAAUUUCGCCUGAGGAUGAGCCCGCGUCUGAUUAGCUAGUUGGUGGGGUAAAGGCCUACCAAGGCGACGAUCAGUAGCUGGUCUGAGAGGAUGAUCAGCCACACUGGGACUGAGACACGGCCCAGACUCCUACGGGAGGCAGCAGUGGGGAAUUUUCCGCAAUGGGCGAAAGCCUGACGGAGCAACGCCGCGUGAGGGAUGAAGGCCUCUGGGCUGUAAACCUCUUUUCUCAAGGAAGAAGAACUGACGGUGCUUGAGGAAUAAGCCACGGCUAAUUCCGUGCCAGCAGCCGCGGUAAUACGGGAGUGGCAAGCGUUAUCCGGAAUUAUUGGGCGUAAAGCGUCCGCAGGCGGCCUUGUAAGUCUGUUGUUAAAGCGUGGAGCUCAACUCCAUUAAAGCAAUGGAAACUACAAGGCUGGAGUGUGGUAGGGGCAGAGGGAAUUCCCGGUGUAGCGGUGAAAUGCGUAGAUAUCGGGAAGAACACCAGUGGCGAAGGCGCUCUGCUGGGCCAUAACUGACGCUCAUGGACGAAAGCCAGGGGAGCGAAAGGGAUUAGAUACCCCUGUAGUCCUGGCCGUAAACGAUGAACACUAGGUGUCGGGGGAAUCGACCCCCUCGGUGUCGUAGCCAACGCGUUAAGUGUUCCGCCUGGGGAGUACGCACGCAAGUGUGAAACUCAAAGGAAUUGACGGGGGCCCGCACAAGCGGUGGAGUAUGUGGUUUAAUUCGAUGCAACGCGAAGAACCUUACCAGGGUUUGACAUCCUGCGAAUCCCUUGGAAACGAGGGAGUGCCUUCGGGAGCGCAGUGACAGGUGGUGCAUGGCUGUCGUCAGCUCGUGUCGUGAGAUGUUGGGUUAAGUCCCGCAACGAGCGCAACCCACGUCUUUAGUUGCCAGCAUUCAGUUGGGCACUCUAGAGAGACCGCCGGUGAUAAACCGGAGGAAGGUGUGGAUGACGUCAAGUCAUCAUGCCCCUUACAUCCUGGGCUACACACGUACUACAAUGCUACGGACAAAGGGCAGCAAGCUCGCGAGAGUUAGCAAAUCCCAUAAACCGUGGCUCAGUUCAGAUCGUAGGCUGCAACUCGCCUACGUGAAGGAGGAAUCGCUAGUAAUCCCU
This 1290-nucleotide ribosomal RNA is filed under the name metagenome. RNAcentral describes it as "bacterial SSU rRNA". It matches the Rfam family "Bacterial small subunit ribosomal RNA", at positions 8 to 1346 of the family's 1533-position model. The record is from RNAcentral.